RNAcentral lists this unclassified non-coding RNA (241 nucleotides) under Mortierella sp. RNAcentral's name for it is "partial contains small subunit ribosomal RNA, internal transcribed spacer 1, and 5.8S ribosomal RNA". The stretch from base 1 to 46 matches the Rfam family "Eukaryotic small subunit ribosomal RNA", at positions 1786 to 1831 of the family's 1831-position model. The record is from RNAcentral. Lineage: Eukaryota; Fungi; Mortierellomycota; Mortierellomycetes; Mortierellales; Mortierellaceae.
AAGUCGUAACAAGGUUUCCGUAGGUGAACCUGCGGAAGGAUCAUUCAUAAUAAAGUGUUUUAUGGCACUUUUUAAAAAAAUCCAUAUCCACCUUGUGUGCAAUGUUAAGGUCUCAUCAGUCAAGUAAUAUUUUCUGAUGGGAUUUUUUAUACAUCAACUCAUUCUUGAACUAAUUUGUCUGAAAAAUAUUAUGAAUACUUAAUUCAAAAUACAACUUUCAACAACGGAUCUCUUGGCUCUC